CAAGGAACACUUAAGCUAAAAAUAAUAUGCUUUUUAAACCACAUUGCAUGCAGACAUAGUCUAUCAGAAUUGAAAUGCGGAAAUAAAAACAUAACUAUCAUCAUAAGUAUCACAUUGAUAAUUUCGAAUACCUGUGUUAAUUGGUAUAUCCUAAUAUACUUGUUUAUGGUAGUUAUAACAAUAACAUUAUUAAUUGUAAAAUUCAGAAAGUCAAAAUUGUUCAAAAUAUCUGUGUA
Molecule: non-coding RNA, 236 nt
Organism: Cinara cedri
Lineage: Eukaryota; Metazoa; Arthropoda; Insecta; Hemiptera; Aphididae
Source: the annotation of a GenBank genome assembly